CGUGAUCCGGGUUGCGGACAGUGUCUGGUGGGUAGUUUGACUGGGGCGGUCUCCUCCUAAAGAGUAACGGAGGAGCACGAAGGUUGGCUAAUCCUGGUCGGACAUCAGGAGGUUAGUGCAAUGGCAUAAGCCAGCUUGACUGCGAGCGUGACGGCGCGAGCAGGUGCGAAAGCAGGUCAUAGUGAUCCGGUGGUUCUGAAUGGAAGGGCCAUCGCUCAACGGAUAAAAGGUACUCCGGGGAUAACAGGCUGAUACCGCCCAAGAGUUCAUAUCGACGGCGGUGUUUGGCACCUCGAUGUCGGCUCAUCACAUCCUGGGGCUGAAGUAGGUCCCAAGGGUAUGGCUGUUCGCCAUUUAAAGUGGUACGCGAGCUGGGUUUAGAACGUCGUGAGACAGUUCGGUCCCUAUCUGCCGUGGGCGCUGGAGAACUGAGGGGGGCUGCUCCUAGUACGAGAGGACCGGAGUGGACGCAUCACUGGUGUUCGGGUUGUCAUGCCAAUGGCACUGCCCGGUAGCUAAAUGCGGAAGAGAUAAGUGCUGAAAGCA
This 546-nucleotide ribosomal RNA is filed under the name Salmonella enterica. Its description in RNAcentral is "partial 23S ribosomal RNA". It matches the Rfam family "Bacterial large subunit ribosomal RNA", at positions 2234 to 2779 of the family's 2925-position model. Lineage: Bacteria; Pseudomonadati; Pseudomonadota; Gammaproteobacteria; Enterobacterales; Enterobacteriaceae. The record is from RNAcentral.